UGUGUUCUGAUGGUUUGAAGUUUCCGUUAGCAUUUUAAAUAAUAUAUUUGCACACUUCUCACAACAACCUUAUAAGUAGAUGCCCUUAUUAUCCUAUUUUUUUCAGAGGAGGAAGCUAAUUUUUAAGAGACUCUACUUUCUCAUGGUUUUCCCUUUCUUCUUCUACACAGUGUCUACAUACUUACAUAUACACACCCACAUGAGACUAUAAGUCCUGUGAGAGCAGGGACCUUAUCUAUCUAAUUCAUAGCUGUAGCCCUAGCACCUAGCACAAUGUCUGGUACAUAAUAGGUGCUCAAUUAAUGUUUGUUGAAUGAAUGAAGGAGCAUCUAGUGUUAUCACUAAAGAAAGAUUAGAACCCAGACAUGAUGUUUUCUCCUCACUGCUGAUCUUCAGGAAAUUGUGUCAUCAGAUAGCUGCCUUUUGAGUCAAUGCCAGCCAGUACUUGUAAAAGAGCUUCAAAAUGUAGAACCUACAGGAUCUGACUUGAUUCCUAGGAAUGACUCCAGUAUACCCAAGAGGAGACAAAAGAGGUACUGACAUUAAGAGUUUACGCGAAAGCUUUUGAAAAUAUUUAAAAAUAUAACAAUUUUAUUAAAUAAUAAAUUAAGAAUAAUUAAAUCGUUUUAAGGUGGCAAGACCAUUUUCCCCCUGAAGUUUUCCAAGUUUCUGGCAAUGUGGUCAUAAUACUUGUAUUAGAAAGCAGUACCUCAUUUGUUUGUUGUUUAAUGAUUUGUUUAUAAAGAGAAUCUAGCUUCUAUGAGCUGGUGAUGCAGCGUUAGACAGAUUCCUUAUUUCCAUGCUUUGCUUUUUAUCCUCUGAUUCUAAUGAUCUCCUUCUCCACUGAGGCAGAAUCCUAAAGAAGUAGCAUGGUUAAUUUCAGUUAAAUGCAAGGGAGCAUUUCCUUAUAGUUCAGGGAUUUGCCCAUGGAGUGGGUCCGAAGGAAAAAGAAUUAUCUCUAAAAGCAUACCAACCAAAUGCUGUUUGUUCCCUACAGAUUGAUUAUGCACUAUUUUGCCUGAGUCUGUGAUUUUCUAAAAAUGCUAUCUGCCCUAGGGUUCUGUGAAUGCCAUGAAUAUUGUUGAUAGAUGAUUCUUAUUUCUGUUUUGUUACCCAUAGUUUUAAGCCAUUGAGUAAAACUAAUUCGGUGAGAUUGUAGUCUGUUUAGGUUGACAUUUGAUUUCAGGAGUGGAUUAACACAAAUGCGUUGAAUGGGCAAGCAUGCAAACCUAGCACAUGGCUUGAAUUAGAACAAAUCCGACAGAGCUUCCUGUCAUCCCUUUUAGGGAGAAUCUCAGUCCUUCUCAGCAUCUGUCACCGUUACUUCAAGCACACCUAUAUAUUUCAGGCCAGCUCUUUUGAGACAAACAAUAAAUAUCUACCUUUUUAAGGCAGGAAGUGCUUGGUUAUUCACCUAAGCUGUUGUCAUGGAGCUCUCUGAGUUUCCACUAAUACCUGAGGCCUGAUCAGCUGUGCUGGAAAAGAAACAGCCACUCCCGGGGCAUCAAAAGCCUCUUUAUCCAAAGACUCCAUUCCCUCCAGUAUCCAACUAUUUAGUACCCACUAUAUACCAGGCACUAGGCAGGAGACUGGUGCAGCUCUGCCCUAAAGAUUCACAGUCUGAGUGGAGAGGGAAGUGGGGACACACAUCAAAAGUUAUGACAGUGCAUCCCAGCAGGUGUUUUGAUAGAUGUACACACAAGCUGCCGCCGUGGAAGCAAACAGGAGUAAUUUAGUCUGCUUAGGAGUGGAUGGGGUGGCUAUAAGGAAAUGCUGCUUUGAAGAAGCAACAUUUGACCUGGGUUUUGAAGUUUGAGUAAGAGUUCAUCAGGGAACCAUAAGUGUAAAGGCAUGGAGGUACAACUAUUAUGUACCCACAAAAACUAAAAAAAUAAAAGGCAUGGAGACAUGAAAGAUCAUGGAUUAGGACAAUUCAGAAUUAAAAACUCUGUUUCCCUUAUUACCCUUGGAAUAAUGUGCUUAACAUAGCAAUUUUUUUUUCUUCUUUUUGAGACAGAGUCUCACUCUGUCGCCCAGGCUGGAGUGCAGUGGUGCAAUCUUGGCUCGCUGCAAGCUCUGCCUCCCGGGUUCACACCAUUCUCCUGCCUCAGCCUCCUGAGUAGCUGUUUACAGGCGCCCACCACCACGCCCGGCUAAUUUUUUGUAUUUUUAGUAGAGAUGGGGUUUCACCGUGUUAGCCAGGAUGGUCUCGAUCUGACCUCAUGAUCCGCCCGCCUCGGCCUCCCAGAGUGCUGGGAUCGCAGGCGUGAGCCACCACACCCGGCCUAACAUAGCAAUCUUAAGUCUCCCCUAUCAGUAUCUGUGGAAGGGAUGAAUACUGACUUGAAUUUUAGUUUUCUAUUACUGUAUAACAAAUUACCACAAAUUUAGCAGUUUCACACAGCAUUCAUUUAUUAUUUGAGUUUUCCACUGCUCAGCAGUUUGGUGCGGAUUAGUGUUCAGGUGCUGACCAGAGGUGUCAUCUUGGCUGCAGCUUGCGUCCUCUUCCAAGCUCGUUAAGGCUGUUGGCAGAAUUCCAUUUGAAUUAUAUUGUAGGACUGAGUUCCCUUUCUCUUGCUGGCUGUCAGCCAACCAAAGCCCCUCUCAGGUCUUAGAGGCCGCCUCAGGUUGUAAGCCACAUGCCUUCUCAUAGCUGGAAGGAGAAUAUCUCUUUAGUCUUCUAAUUAUAAUGUAAUAUGAUCCUGGGAGUGACUAUCCCAUGACCUUUUUCGGAUAACAAGGGACUGAUAUCUCAUUAUAUUCCCAGCAGGUGGGAAUCUUGGGAGUCUUCCUAGAAUUGUAUACUAUAGCUAGGAUGAAAACUAACAAAGAAAAUAGUCCAAAGAUACUUGGGGCAAAAACAACAAAAUAAAAAGCCUGGGUUUUUCCCAGUCUGGGACCUUGGCAUUGAAUUUGUUGGGUGGUCUGAUCAUUUAUUCACGUGAGUUAGUUAUUGUUUCACCUCAUCCAUUUAUUUGCAUUAUCUUUGCUCACACUCCCUGAUGCUAAUUCCCUCUGACAGACACAUGGAGUAUCUUCCAUACCCUUCCAACAUUGAUUUUAGGAUUUUAUUGUGAAGAACCAAGUUGGGAAAGUUUAUUUUUAAUUGUUACAGAAAGAAUAUACAUAAUAUAUUAUCAUAUUUUAUAGUAAUACUGUAUUCUGGUGUGAAUUUCAAAUACACUUAACAUGGUGCUUAUGAGCACAAACCAUUGUCAGAGACACCCGAAUUUGAAUGCCAGCUUCAUCAUUUAUUACUAAUGUGACCUUGGGCAAGUUACUUAACUCCUAUAACCUUCUGUUUAGCUUAGGGGUAGGAUUUAAAUUCACUUACUUGUAAGCAGGUAAUGUUCCAGUCCACAGAAGCAAAAAUAAAGUUUUAGCAUGGAUAACUGUGCUACGAUGAAAUAAUUUCUAAACAAAUCAUCAUCAUCAUCACUUUAGAUAAUUACUGGAUGUUAAGUUCCUUGCAGGCAGAGUUGUUCACUGCCCAACACAUGGUACAUAGAAGACAAAUAUCUAUCUUGUCUACUUAAAUAAAUUAAUUGUAUGAUCAAUGGAUCUUAACAAAUGUGUAUAUUUGCUCUCAAAUAUAGAAUUAUAAAUUGGCCUUUUAGUAUAGGAAUAUAGUAUCAGUAUAAAUUAAUGUUAGGUCAGUGAGGUAUCAUAUAUCCCAUUAAAAAAAAAUCUUCUUUGAUUCCAUAUCCCUUCUAGUUACUGUUCCAAUUUUCUGCUGCCUUUCACAGCAACCUUUCACAGCUGCCUUUCACAGCCUUUCCUCACAUGCCAAUUGUACUUCACCUCUCAUUCUCUCCUGGUCCAUUGUAGCCCACUGUUCUCACUGCUCAUUCAUCAAACCUACUAGUAUUUAUUGAGUGCCAGGCACUGUUUUAGGUACUGAGGAAAUAAACGUGAACAGCAAAGUAGCAGGGCGAGGAAAUGUAGUCCUUAAAUAAACAAAUAAGUAUUGGGCUUUCCUUUUUUCCUUUUUUUCUUUACCCAUUUGUUAGUUUCGUUUACAGGUUUCUCUGGCGGCCUUUAAAAGUUAAGUUCUCCAGGGCUCAGUGCUGGGUCCACUUCUCUUAUUUCCCUCAAUUCUCUAUCUACUUGAUCUCAUUCAUUCUCUUGACUCUCAAUCCAUUUCUUGGCUGGUGACUCCGGUGUUUGUAUUUCAGCCCACAUUUCUUUCUUGCAUAUCCAUAGGCUUACACUAAUUGCUAAAUUGCCAGGUUUCGAUCCUGAUUUCUCAAACCACCACCUUCCCCAACCUGUUUAUAUCAGUCUUUUCUGUCUAAAUGAGUAGUGCCCCUGCUUAGCCAUAUAUGCAAACUAAAUACCUACAGUAACCCUUGAUUUUCUCCAUCACACUUCAUGCCUCAAUUUUAAGUAAUUUAUUUCAUUUUUAUCUCUAAAAUCCAUGUGCAAUUUGCCUGUCUGCUUCUCUCUAGCUCUACUCCAAACACCCUGGUCCAAGAUACCAUCAUGUCUGGCAUGGAGUUUUGAAAUCGCCUCCUAACUCAUCUUCCUGCUUCUAUUCUUGAUCCCUUUUCGAUUGUGCUUCACAGGAAGAACAGGAGUUAAACUUUUUUCAGGAGUUAAACUUGAAAAGUUUAAACCAUAUUAGUGUCAUCUCCGUAGUUACAAUUCCAUUGGUGGCUUCCCAUCGUACCCUGAAUAAAAAUAACCCUUCUUGCCAUGACCUACGAGGAUCCACAGCUCCAGUCAAUCGUACUCCCUACUUUGUUCCACGCAUUCUGGCCCUGAGUCACACCGGCCUCUUCCCACCUCAAGGCUAUCAACACAGGCUGUUCCUCCCAUUCCUUGUGUAGCGAGUUUCAAAGUCACCCACUCAGAGAGGGCUGCCUGACUGCCCUGUCUGAGUAGCACCCCCCUACAUUCUCUGUUGCAGUCUCCUUUUUUUUUUUUUUUAAACAGAGCCUCACUCUGUCCCCCAGGCUGGAGUGCAAUGGCGCGAUCUCGGCUCACUGCAAGCUCCGCCUCCCGGGUUCUCGCCAUUCUCCUGCCUCAGCCUCCCCAGUAGCUGGGACUACAGGCGCCCGCCACCACGCCCGGCUAAUUUUUUGUGUUUUUAGUAGAGACGGGGUUUCACCGUGUUAGCCAGGAUGGUCUCCAUCCCCUGACCUCGUGAUCCUCCCGCCUCGGCCUCCCAAAGUGCUGGGAUUACAGGCGUGAGCCGCCGUGUCCAGCCUUUUUUUUUUAAAGCUCCAUAGCAUUUUUUGUCAUUUAUAAUCAUUGUUUGUUUUCUUGCUUAUUGUUUAUCUCUCCACUGGAAUGUAAGCUCCAUGAGGCUAUAUCUGCUUAUUAACUGCAUUAUAUUCCAGGCACAUAGUAAGCAUUCAGUAAAUAUUUGAGGAAUUAAUGUAUAAUAUCAGGGGGAAAUAAAUAUACCUAAUGGCAAUAAGUAUGUAAAUACUGUUUUACAUCUGGAUCUGUCAAGACUUUCUGCCUUUUAGUUCAAGGAAAAUAUUCCAUUUCUAUUCUGUGUUUUUAAAAAUCUCUGCCUAGAAGUUCUUGCCAUGAGCUUAGUGAUAAUGUGGUGAGCAAAAAUGUCUGUUAUCUAGAAUUGACUAUGACUGUGAUCACCAUGGUGCAAGGUUUGUGCCCUUUGUAUAGCGCCUACCAAGGAGCUAGAAGGACUUUUUGCAGUCCUGGGACUAAACCAGCAGAGGGCCAACUAGACUAGAAGUUUAUUUUGGAAGAUUCCUGAACCCUGGUAGCCAGCCUCCUGGUUGUUAAUAGCUUUAAGUGGUCACUGGGGUAGAAGCAUUUGCCAAAACAUCCAGAGAGGAUUGGGGGUUAUGUUUAACUUCUCCAUGGGCGCCUUAAAAACAGCUUGGUAAGGAACAUCUUUCAAAUGUGUAAAUUCUUAGUCCAAAGCAAAUAAAAACACAAAGACAAACAGGGACCUACUUGGCAUUACAUGAAAAAAAAGAGUGUGUAUGUUUAUGGCAGAGAACUCGGGUUAACCCGUAGCCGUACUAUUUUCUAGCUAUGUGUAAUCCUGGCAACUUUCUAAGCCUAGUUCUCUCAAAUAAAAUGGGCCCAAAUAAAAUGGGCUUGUCUGGUUCGAGUUGGUGUUUGAAAAAUAAAAAUAAAAUAAAAUGGGGUUUCCAGCCCACUCUUACAUGCAAUCAGUGGGUGCCAUUAGUAACUGAAUUGCAGGCCUUCCUCCUCUCACUUUGUGGAUUAUUAACAACAUGUUUUCAGUCUUUAAUGGCUUACCCCAAUCUUAUUUAUUUAUUUAUUUUUUGAGACGGAGUCUUGCUCUUUCGCCCAGGCUGGAGUGCAGUGGCGGGAUCUCAGCUCACUGCAAGCUCUGCCCUCCCAGGUUCAUGCCAUUCUCCUGCCUCAGCCUCGCGAGUAGCUGGGACUACAGGUGCCCGCCAGCACACCCGGCUAAUUUUUUUUUCGUAUUUUUAGUAGAGACGGGGUUUCACCAUGUUAGCCAGGAUGGUCUCGAUCUCCUGACCUCGUGAUCUGCCCAUCUCGGCCUCCCAAAGUGCUGGGAUUACAGGCGUGAGCCACCACGCCCGGCACCCCAGUCUUAUUUUUGAUUACUCAUCAGUUAGCAAUACAGUUCAGAUAUGCUUCAGUGCACCAUAUAUUUCAGCAGUAACCAUCUUCUCCCAAGCCCACGGUUGCUCACUGGUCUCCAAGACAUAGCUAAAUGGCUACUGUUGUAUUAUCCCCAGAAACAAAUAAAGCCACCAACUGUCCAGGGGACUGAUUCGGAGAACCAUGUGCUGUGAGAUGGGAGCUCUUGGGAGUUAGAACUGGUUGUGCCAGCUGACACUGAUGAUGGCCUUGGAUGGCCUUGGAUGAAUCCAACCAGAAAAUGUGCUUUCGUUUUCAGAACAUUAACAGCUUCAGGUAAAAGAUAGGCUGCUCAGUGCCAGCUGUUCAUUUUCCCCACAGUUCUAGGCCACCAGCUAUCUAGCACUGUGAUAACACCAGGUAUCUAGCCAUUAAGAUAGAAAUGUAUAAACAUUAGCAUUUGAUGGCUCUGAGUAAUUUUAAAUCCAUAUUGCCAAACAUUAAAAUACCCACGUUCUGCCGGGCGCGAUGGCUCACGCCUGUAAUCCCAGCACUUUGGGAGGCCGAGGCGGGUGGAUCACCUGAGAUCAGAAGUUCGAGACCAGCCUGGCUAACAUGGUGAAACCCCGUUUCUACUAAAAAUACAAAAAAUUAGCUGGGCGUGGUGGCACGUGCCUGUAAUCCCAGCUACUCGGGAGGCUGAGGCAGGAGAAUCGCUUGAACCCUAAAGGCAGAGAUUGCAGUGAGCCAAGAUCGCCCAUUGCACUCCAGCAUGGGCAACAAGAGCGAAAGUCUGCCUCAGAAAAAUAAAAUAAAAUAAAAUACAUCCUUUUUUAUAACACUGACUGUUGGACUUAGAAUUUUUCACUUAGAAAUAGAGACCCAAGGUUAUUUUCUUAAUAAAUAUCAAGUGGAGAAAGAGUCCUGUGGAUGAUAGUCUACUUGAAGAGGCAGAUCCUAGGAGCCUCUACUCUGCCAAGCUUUGGCCUUGGUAAAGGAGCUGCAGUGCCUCCGCUUUGCCACAGGGUGGCAACAGUUGCUUCCCAUUUGAGGAUGGCGGGGUGAAGCAAACCUUGAACUGUAGGGGACACUCCGUUUCUGGCUAGUCUCUCUCUGCAGUUGGAGAAAGCAGUGCAGCUGACUCUUAUGUGUCUUGACUAAAAUCUGUUUCUAGGUUAUCCUCACCCUGGAGGAACCAAUGAGAACAUUGGGUUUGUAGGCCAUCUAUGAAUGGACUGGGACCCCCCAAUGGGCCCAUGCCUUUGGGGGUUGCAUUUUGUCCACCCUGAACUUCAAUCCUUAAAGUCUCUGGAUGAUUUUCAGUUUUUCUCUGUUGAGCAAUUGCAUGGAUAGUAAUGAGAAAUUCAAAAGAAACGGGGAGGUUCUUUUUGGGAGGGGAAAAGGAUAGGAAAGAUGAACACGAUGACAUGUUUGUGUGUGUUUACAGUGUCCUGGGUAUCCAGAAGGCACUUAGAUGUAUAUGGCACAGGAGAGAAGUCUGGGAGAAGGAAGGGUUUCAGAGUCAUCCCCGUGUUAGUGGUGGCUGAUACUGUAGGGGUGGAUGGGGUCACCCUGGGUGGGUAUUGAGAACAACAGGGCACCUAAGACAGAGGCCAGGUAGAUGAAGAAGAAUCCACAAAGGAAACUGGGAUAAAUCGGCCAGAAAGGAGAAGAACCAGAAAGAUAGAGUGUAAUGAAAACAAGGAAAUAGUGUUCUGAGAAGGGGCAGUGGUUACCACUGUCAGGAUCAGCAGAGAGGUCACAUGAAAUAGUAAAAACCACUGGGUGUCAAGUGUUCACUGGGGGUAGCAACACAGAAGUUACUGCUUUGUGGGGGCUUUGGGCAGAGCCGGCUCUGGGGAGUAGUGGGGGCCCACCAUACCUGCAGGGCAUUGAGGGGAUAAACAAGGAAGAAAUGCAACGUAUAAAUGUGUUCCCAGAAUGUCAGGUAAAGGGGAGAUGAGUAAUAGCUGUGGAAGGAUUGGGGGAAGGGUGAAUGAUUUAGAGCUGAGGAGGGUUUCUGUUAAGGUUAUUUUAGGAUGUGAGAAAUUGAACUUGCUGAAGUGCUAAUUGCUAAGAACCAGCAGAGAGGGAGAGUUGAAGAUGUGGGAUGGGGAGCAGCAACUGAGGAGGUGGGAGAGGAUGAGGAAUGGAGCACAGGUGUUGGCCUGUGUCUUAGGUCUUUCCUUCCUCCGUUGGGGAAAAAGGAAAGUGGCAAAAGUGUGCUGGGAUACAGAGCUUUGGAGGUUUUGGCCUCAGGUGUUUGCAAGCACUGUACUAAUUCUAGCCACCUUCUCAAUUAAAAUAAGAAUACAAGAACGAAAUGCAGUCUCCCAAAUCUCUUUUCUUUGCCAGCUUAUACAUUUAUACACCUCACUGAUAUGUCUUUUGAUGUUUUAAAAUUUUGGACAGCACUAUUUUUAACUUUUACAACUAUAACUAUUAGUUAUUUACUAGUUAUAGUAUAAACUUUUAAUAUUUACUUUUUAUAACUCCUAGAUGUCUUGUAGAUCAAAAGAUCUAAAGUGUCAUCUUUGUCUAUUUUAUAUCUUGUUUAAUAGUAAUAAAUGUUUUAGUGAAGCAUAAACCUAGAACAAAAAUAGAAAAUAAUCUUAAUAGGGUGUUGGGGAAUUUUAUGUGAACACUUCAUGUGUCUUUGAAACAGUACAAUGUAAAAAAUUAGCACAGUGUUAUUGCAUGCACAAAAUGUGAAAUAAUGUGAAUCUUCCCCAAAUAACAAUUUGUCAAGGAUCACAAUUUCAAAGUAGUAGGCUUAGUAAUUCUAAACAGUGAUCGGUAGAAUUUGUCAUCAUCCUCAAUUAGGAUUGUUCUUGAAUUUUGUGAAUUUUCAAUCACGAGUGAGAUCUUUAGUCCAUUCCUUAAAUAAAAUGUGACUAUCUUAGAAUGUCAAAGAGGGACACAGAAAACUAGAUAACAACUCCUGAAAUUAAGUUUGCUGUAUGGCAACUACUAAUUGCUCUGCCAGUUGUCUGACUGUAGAAUAAUCCUUGUGAAAUAUUCACUUCUAUAUGAGUUGGAGCCUGGGUAAGUCUGAGCCCCAGUAUAUUUUCAUGGAAGUCACUAGAACCAGAUGUAAAUCCUCGGUUCUCUAGAGAAACAGACAAACAGAACCAUUAGAAUGUAUAGAGAGACAGACAGUUAUUUUAAAGAGUUGGCUCAUAUAAAUGUGGGGGCUGGCAAGUUGAAAAUUUGUAAGACAGACUGGAGACUUGGGCAAGAGUUGAUAAUUUUGAGUCUGAAGACAGUCCAGAGGCCGAAUUAUUUCCUUUUCAGAGGACCUCAGUCUUUUCUCUUAAGGUCUUCAACUGAUUAGAUGAAGUCCACCCAUAUUAUAGAGAGUAAUCUGCUUUUCUUAAAGUUCACUGAUUUAAAUAUUACUCACUUUAAUACCUUCACAGAAAAAUCUAGUGUUGGCUUAUGAUCACACAACUGGGUACUAUAACUUAGGCAGUCUGACACAUGAAAUUAAUAGGGUGUUGGGGAAUAAAAUUAACACAGUUGUCAUCAAGCCCCCAUUUUCUAAGGAAAAUUAUUAUAAUCCACAUAAAUAUGGUAUUUUGCUUUUGAAUCUCUCUAGUAGAGUCUGGGUCUCAAAUUGUCUUCAUGCACAGUGUCAUGCUUACCCUCACAAUCACUUACUGGAGGCAGGCAAGGAGGGUGAGUAUUCCUUGCCACCUUUUACAAAUGUGGAAAAAGAAACUCAGAGAUGAGACUUAUCUAGGGAUACAGCUUGUCUUCUGGUCUGUUCAGGCUGCUAUAACAAAAAUUCCACAGACUAGGUGGCUUAAAUAACAAAGGUUUAUUUCACAGUUCUGGAGGCUGGGAAGUCAAAACCAAGGUGCUGGCAGAUUCCGUGCCUGGGGAGAGACUGCUUCCUGAUUCAUAGGUGGCUGUCUUUCAUUGUAUUCACAUGGCAGAAGAGAUGAGAGAGCUCUCUGGGGCCUCUUUUAUUACCAUCACAUUGGGGAUUAGGCUUCAACAUGUAAAUUUUAAGAGGAACACAAACAUUCCAUCCAUAGCCCAGCUAGUAUUUGUGGGAUCAGAGCCUGAGCUGGACCCUGGUGUUUUCCUCUUCUGUCUGUCCAGCACAUCACACUGCUUCUUUGGCUAGUUGAUCUAGUUGAUUAUAGGUACUGUACAGAUGCAGAAAGGGUUAAACCUUGACCACAAGGUUUAUCCUUAAGGAUGAUCCUCACUCCUGGGCUCAUUGUUGAUACUUCUUUGUAUUUGCUUCUUUAGCCUCAUUGUGAAUUGGCAUUGAUGAUGAGGAAGAGCUUGCCUUCCUCACUAGACUAUGAGAUUUGCAAAUGCGCACACAGUAUCUGCCUCGCUUUUUGUGUCUGUAGUGCCUAGACAAGGCCAGGCAAAUAACACCCACUAAAUAUUUGUUGAAACAACCUUGCCAUAUUUGCUCCCUUGAAAUAGCCAUUGACCUCUGAGACACCAGCAAGUGGGACUCGUGUUAUUCCAGUCAAGAUUAUCCAGCCUUCGCAACAUGUAAAUAUAUCUGGAGCAUUUUGACGGUAAUAACCUAAAAGUCACCGGCAUUUCUCACACUUGGUCACUUAGGACUGCAAUUUCCUGGAAAGUGCUUUAAAUAUUUCUGGAGAUUGCCGGGCAUGGCAGCUCAUGCCUGUAAUCCCAGCACUUUGGGAGGCCGAGGCGGGCAGAUCACAGGGUCAGGAGAUCGAGACCAUCCUGGCUAACACGGUGAAACCCCGUCUCUACUAACAAUAGAAAAAAUUAGCUGGGCGUGGUGGCGGGCGCCUGUAGUCCCAGCCACUCGGGAGGCUGAGGCAGGAGAAUGGCGUGAACCCAGGAGGCAGAGCUUGCAGUGAGCCGAGAUCGUGCCACCGCACUCCAGCCUGGGCAACAGAGCGAGACUCUGUCUGAAAAAAAAAAAAAAAAAAAAAAUUCUGGAGAUCAUAGAGCAAACACCAUAUAUGAUCCUGAGCAAAAUGAAUUGGUCCACUUCUGUGGGACAGUUACCCAUUUUCCCCUUUUCCUCCCCUUGUCCCCUUAAGUUCGGCACCACCAUGCCCUUCAGCUAUGAUUGUCUCCCAUUACAGCUGGUGGGUGCCCCCAAGCUAUGCAGCCUCAGGGUGUUCUGUUGUAGUGGGUGCUGACUUGGGAGGGCAACGGAAAAUCCCCUCAGUGUAUGCUAUGGUCUGAAUGUUUGUGUCUCCCCCAGAUUCAUAUGUUGAUGCCUAAUCCCCACUGCAAUAGUAUUAAAAGAUAGGGUCUUUGGGGGUGAUUAGACCUUGAGGGCUUCACCCUUACAAAUGGGAUCCAUGCCCUUAUGAAAGAGGCCAGAGGAAGCUCAUUUGCCCUUUCCACCGUGGGAGAACACAGGAGACGGAGCCACUGUGAGGAACAGGCCCUCACCAGACACAGAAUCUACAGGCACUUUAAUCUUGGACUUCCCAGCCCCACAACUGUGAGCAAUAAAUUUCAGCUGUUUGCAAAUCACUUGGUCUAAAGUAUUUUUUACAGCAGCCUGAAUGGACCAAGACAGUGUGCCUUGACAUCCCUAAAUACUAGAGAUUUUUUAGGGAAACAUAGCUUUAUUUUUUUUGCCCCUCUGCCCCACAACUUUCUGUAGGAUUCACAUGGGGGUGUUGGACAUGGAGACAAAGCUAAGCACUGGGAACCAUAGGUUCUAAAAAUCCCAACCUUUCCAUUGACCACUAAGGCAUUAUUUAUUGUCUGGUGCCUUGCAGUUGGCAAGCCGACUCCUCUUUCCUUCAGUCUGAGCUUUCUCCUGGAGGUUUCUAAGUUCCUCAUGCAAAUAGGCUUCUGGCAGAUGUCCUCUCAGACAUAUCUGUUCAAAACUCAGAGUGUUCAAGCUGGGACCUUGUUUCAUGUCAUCUGGAAAAAGAGGGAGGCAACAGGAAGCGUGCUGAGUCACCAGGGAAGCCACAAUCAACAAUUUCCCACAGGUAAUUGACAAAGUGGAUCAGGCACAUGUAGGAAGUGGAAUUGUGGUAACUAAAUUUUAUAUAUUUUGUGGUUUGCAGAAAUACUUUUCUAUAUUCUGUCUCAUUUGAUACAGCCUUUAAAAAGGUUAAAAAUGUUUAUCAUUGCCCACAAUCACACCGCUUAAGCUUUACGAGUUAAAUGUCCUGUUGGCAGGACAGCUGUGUUAGGUUUAAAUGCAUCUCCCCAACCAGCUGUCUUCUAUCCUGGUAGACUAGUACAAUCCUGUGAUAUUUAGCUGAGAAACUAUAAUGUGCUGGGAGUCGCGGUAAACCACAUGUGGAUUUGGGUGGGUGGUGUUUCAGAGACGUGCCGCUUCUGGAAGCAAAUGUUCUGACAAACUGCCUUCUUGGAACCAAUUGGUGCAAAUACCUUGGGCACCACAGUUCGUAAAGAGAACUGUUGAAGGCGGCUGGAAGGGUUUAGCAGACCACAAUUUCGCACCGCAAAUAUAACUGAGCAUGCACUUUUGACCAUGGUGUGCUGUGUGAUGUUAGUAGAGGAAGGGGCACUGGCGGUGGAGGCUGGGGGGGACUUGGUUUGUACAGCAUAGCAGGAAGAGCACUGAGGCAGGAUGCCCAGGGGUUCUAGUCCUAGCUCAGACCAGCUGCGUGGCACUGAACAAGUCCCUUCAGUUCCGCAAAGUUUAGCUUCCCAAUCUAAAAAUGGAGAUAAACUGUCCAGUCCAUCUCACAGGUUUGACAGGGCAGUCAAAUGAAAUAAUAUAUAUAAACGUAUUUUGGAAAGUAUAAAAUGGUACACAGGUGCAAAGCAUCAUUCUCAUGGUCCUUAAUUCUUUCAUCCUCCUGUAUAUAUAUAUAUUUCCAGGUGUAAGUGGCUUUGGGAUUGGAAGAUAGUCAUAUCUUUCAAUCUUAAGUUUCCUUCACGUGGCCUCAGAAAACUGCCCCCCAGUAGUUGCAUGUUAAACUUUGCCAGAAUCAGUUUCCCACCUGGCCUUAAGUGCUCUGCUCUGUAUUGGUGUUGACCUUAGGCGUGAGAAACAUGUGACUGUAAUGAGGAUGGAUGCUUUCUAAAAGCUCAUAAAUAGCAACUUUUUCAUACUGAUAUUUGCUCUGUUCCAUUCUUGCCCUUGUGACUUUACAGAUGUUGUAUUCUGCCAUGAAAUAGGUUAUAGAAGCAGGUUUAAAGUGAAGGAGACUAUGAUUCAGCUGCCAAACCAAAAGUGAAACCUGUCCAUGUGGAUAUAGCAGAUGUCAGUGGAAGAAAGGUGUGCAGAAUUGAAAAGCUUGCUCUCUGUGGUUUAAGAACACACUGUCCUCUUGUGGGCGUCUCUGGCAGCCCAUGAUCGGUACACUUCCUUGAACCAAAUAGCCUAUCAAAAUAUUAUCUAAUACAUUUCUACUUUUAUUUACUCAAUGAGUAAUUACUGAGUGCCUACUACAUGCCAGGAACUGUGGCCCUGAUAUGUUUCAAAACCCAUAAACAUGCAUCUAACUUAUUUAUGUAGGAUCUCCAUCAGGCACUAUCUUCUUUUCUUUUAUUUAUUUAUUUAUUUAUUUAUUUAUUUAAAUUAUACUUUAAGUUUUAGGGUACAUGUGCACAUUGUGCAGGUUAGUUACAUAUUUAUACAUGUGCCAUGCUGGUGCGCUGCACCCACUAACUCGUCAUCUAGCAUUAGGUAUAUCUUCUUUUAACCUUUCCAGUGAAGGUUAAACUCUGACCAGAGGAAUUGAGUGUGUUUACAGAAAAUCAGGGAUGGAACAGAAUUAGACUGCUUUUCCCCUUACUUCCCACUCCCUUACAGCAUGUUCCAUUGGUACUUGAGUCUAGAGGCAUCCAGAGGUGUAAGAAUAACCAAACACAACAAAGAUUAGGAGUAACGAAGUGUUUUCAUGCAGUGCCGCACCCCAGUGAGGUGGGCUGGCUAAAAGGAUGUGAUACAAACUGAUAUCCAGGGAAUGGCAAAGAGGAGUAGCUGGGCCUGUCCAUCAUCUCUUAUCAUGACUCACAGCUCUUGUUUAAGGAAUUUGAAGUCUAGGUGGAUGAAAGGGACAUCAAACUUAAAAUGCACAGCUGCAACCUACUAGAUAGAAGCUGAGAACCCUAUAUGUGGAUCAGGCAGUCACUACUGGAGUUCAGGAGGGGGAUAAGGCAUUGGCCCCCAGAGAAGACAUCACAGAUCAAACUUGAGCUAGACUUCCUUGAGGACGGGUAGGAUGUAGAUGAUAAAGAUUCAGCUUCAGGCAGUAAGAAGUGAAAAGAAACAUACUUUUUAACCAGUAUGUGUUGAGUGGAGGGUGGUUAUGGGGAAGGGAGGAUGGCAGGGAAGGCUGGAUGCAUUUAAGGCUGUCGCCAAGUUUUUCCGCUUAAAGAGCAUCUGGGCACAGUGGCACAUGGUCUAUAUUACUCAGGGCCCUAAGCUCACCUGAGAAGCUCCAGCCUCCCUUCUGCACCUUGCCCACAGAAUGUUCUGUAACACUUCUCUGUCCUUGCAGAUAAAUAGGCUGCCCCAAAUCUAGCGAUACCCUCGAUGGCGGCAGGGGUAGUAGCAGUGGCAUUGGAUGGGACGGUGGGUUGGAUAUUUCCCUUUGUAUUGGUCAAAUACGUGCACAGAUGGCACCAACACCACAGGGAUCUCUGGAGAUGAAGGCAGGUCAGAUCACCUCCCUCAUUUGGUUUGGACAUCAAGGAGACUGCGUGAAUGACCAUCAGCCUCUCUCCAGUCUACCCAAAGGUAUCAGGUAUCCAGCACUAUUCUGAUGGAGAAGCAGUAAGAGUGAGCCUACCUUAGAUCUAUUAAUAGAGCUCAUUCAGCCAAGGAAAAGGAUCCAACUAACCCAGAUGACUACAUGAGCCUAGGUCAUUCACAUGUGGCUUUGGUUUACAUUAUUGAAUUCCUGUGGAGAAGAGGAGUCAGAGCUGUGAAUAAGUCAUAAGUCCCUAUAGAUGAGGUCAUACAGCUAAGGUGAUGAGGCCAAUAUUCAAACUCAAGCAUCUGGAUUGCAGGCUGCACUUUUGAUCGCCAUGUCUAGCCUCCUCUAUACACCUGCUCUGACCGAUUUGGUAUCCACCACGCCCAUGAGGCUACUGAACACCUGAAAUAUGGCUGGCUGGAGUUGUGAUGUACUCUAAGUAUAAACUACACACCCUAUUUGGAAGACAGUAUUCAAAAAAGAAUAUAAAAAGUCUCAUUGGCAAUUCUUUAUAUCAAUUACAUGUUGAAAUGAUAAUUUGGAUAUAUUGGGAUAAAAAAUUAAUUAUUAAAUUUAAUUUCAUAUUUCUCUUUACUUUUUGAAGUGAGAAGACUAGACAAUUUAAAAUUACAAAUGUAGUUCAUAUUCUAUUUCUAUAGAACAGCACUGCUAUAUACUAUUUUAAAAUAAUAUAUAAAGGCGACUAGAACUGACUCAGGCCAACAUUAUUUUUCAUCAGUAGUUCUAGUUAAAAAUUUUGGUUGGAAGUGGGUGGAUGGGAAGGUUGAAGCCCAUUUUUAAAGAUAAGUUUGGUGUUUUUAUGAA
Pan troglodytes (chimpanzee) is the source of this 16031-nucleotide long non-coding RNA. RefSeq lists it as uncharacterized. Lineage: Eukaryota; Metazoa; Chordata; Mammalia; Primates; Hominidae. The transcript is spliced from 4 exons. The record is from RefSeq and is a predicted model, not a curated record.